CAGCAGCCGCGGGAAUACGGAGGGAGCUAGCGUUGUUCGGAAUCACUGGGCGUAAAGCGCACGUAGGCGGCUAUUCAAGUCAGGGGUGAAAGCCCGGGGCUCAACCCCGGAACUGCCUUUGAAACUAGAUAGCUUGAAUCUUGGAGAGGCGAGUGGAAUUCCGAGUGUAGAGGUGAAAUUCGUAGAUAUUCGGAAGAACACCAGUGGCGAAGGCGGCUCACUGGCUCAUUCUAGACGCUGAGGUGCGAAAGCGUGGGGAGCAAACAGGAUUAGAUACCCCUGUAGUCCCUGUCUCUUAUAC
RNAcentral lists this ribosomal RNA (301 nucleotides) under uncultured bacterium. Its description in RNAcentral is "partial 16S ribosomal RNA". It matches the Rfam family "Bacterial small subunit ribosomal RNA", at positions 509 to 807 of the family's 1533-position model. The record is from RNAcentral.